Long non-coding RNA from Telopea speciosissima, 321 nucleotides. RefSeq lists it as uncharacterized. The record is from RefSeq and is a predicted model, not a curated record. The transcript has 2 exons. Lineage: Eukaryota; Viridiplantae; Streptophyta; Magnoliopsida; Proteales; Proteaceae.
UAUUGUUGGGUCAUCUUUGGCUUUCUAAUGGCUUCACCCAAAUCCAAGCUUGCUUUCUAUUCUCUUCUUGCACUACUUCUCUCCACCAUUUUCAUGGGAAUUCAAGGUGAAAAUGAUUCAUGUGUGGGAGACUGUAAAAAUCUCCAUGAAUGUGUGAAGAAAUGUGAUGCAUGGGGUUAUGAUCCAAGUCUUGCUGAAUGCUUUCCUAGGUGGGAAGCACCUAUUGGUGACUGUUGUUGUAAGAGGACCUACUUUUGAUCUUCUAUGUAACAAAUCUAAUGAAGGUAAAUUUGGGAUUGAAAUUUGUUAUCUAAUAUGAUA